RNAcentral lists this ribosomal RNA (322 nucleotides) under uncultured Prevotella sp. Its description in RNAcentral is "bacterial SSU rRNA". It matches the Rfam family "Bacterial small subunit ribosomal RNA", at positions 28 to 339 of the family's 1533-position model. Lineage: Bacteria; Pseudomonadati; Bacteroidota; Bacteroidia; Bacteroidales; Prevotellaceae. The record is from RNAcentral.
GAUGAACGCUAGCUACAGGCUUAACACAUGCAAGUCGAGGGGAAACGAUAUUGGAAGCUUGCUUUCUUUAGGCGUCGACCGGCGAAUGGGUGAGUAACGCGUAUCCAACCUGCCCCUUACUAGAGGAUAGCCCGGCGAAAGUCGGAUUAAUACUCUAUGUUCUCCUUUGCAGGCAUCUAACGAGGAGCAAAGAUUCAUCGGUAAGGGAUGGGGAUGCGUCUGAUUAGCUUGCCGGCGGGGUAACGGCCCACCGGGGCAACGAUCAGUAGGGGUUCUGAGAGGAAGGUCCCCCACAUUGGUACUGAGACACGGACCAAACUCC